This 200-nucleotide ribosomal RNA is filed under the name uncultured bacterium. RNAcentral describes it as "partial 16S ribosomal RNA". It matches the Rfam family "Bacterial small subunit ribosomal RNA", at positions 328 to 538 of the family's 1533-position model. The record is from RNAcentral.
ACGCUCGACACCUACGGAGGCAGCAGUGGGGAAUAUUGCACAAUGGGGGAAACCCUGAUGCAGCGACGCCGCGUGAGCGAAGAAGUAUUUCGGUAUGUAAAGCUCUAUCAGCAGGGAAGAAACUGACGGUACCUGACUAAGAAGCACCGGCUAAAUACGUGCCAACAGCCGCCGGUAAUCUGAGCGGGCGUGGCGAAGGC